AGGGGGGGUUGAUGUUUUGGUACUGUUAACCGCUACCUGAGUUUAAAUCUUCUGUUUCCUGCGCCAACCUUUGUUCUCUUUCUUGGAAGCAUGCUCCUCAAUCCACUCAGAUUAAACUGAAUUAGGCCCUGUCUUAACUGCAUUCGCUGCCCAACCCACAUAUCUCUACAUUAAUAGCAUUGCGCUUGGCUCGCUUCUGUGUGCCCUUUAGGCCUAUCUGGAUGCCUCAGUGACUACCAUGCUGCCUGGCCUAAUAUUGGGGUCACUGGGCCUAUGCGGCAGCCAGGGUGCCUCG
This 295-nucleotide long non-coding RNA is filed under the name Phoenix dactylifera (date palm). RNAcentral describes it as "long non-coding RNA (PDAC_LNC020002)". Lineage: Eukaryota; Viridiplantae; Streptophyta; Magnoliopsida; Arecales; Arecaceae. The record is from RNAcentral.